Varroa destructor (honeybee mite) is the source of this 1418-nucleotide long non-coding RNA. The record is from RefSeq and is a predicted model, not a curated record. Lineage: Eukaryota; Metazoa; Arthropoda; Arachnida; Mesostigmata; Varroidae.
UUGAUUUAUCUGCAUAACAAAAUUCCUCUGCAUUGGAAUGCUUGUGAUUCAUGUUCAAGAAAGAGUCGUACGCAAAUCUUUUGAAUGAAUCAUGGUCGUUGUGUCCGUCUUAGUGAAUUUGGACCAGGAGUGCCGUUGGAUUUCGUGACCCUGCCCUCAGCGUAUAAUCGAUCUCGCACGAUAGGUACUGUCGCCCAAAUAUGAACCCUUGAAGACAAAAUGCAGCGUUUCACCAGCAUGAAUUACGUCGAUUAUUCUUCGUCCAAUCCAUCUAAACAAGUAGGCGUGCGAUUUUCAACAUGUGCGAUGAGUGUAGAGCCGCCAUUCGUAAACUACUUCAAGAGCAGGGGUCCCGCAUCACAACCAAGCCUAAACUAGGCCUUGCUGAACGUUCCGGCUAUACUUGUCAUUCGCUGACAGCCUCUAACUUGAGUUUCGCGUCCUGGCUUACGAUGAUCGGAUGCGAGCGGACACACGGCGGCGGUGCUUCGUUGUGGCACUGUUCUAUUCCUAUCAAACCGUUACCCAAAACAGGUUUAUUCUGGUCUAUCUGUGAUCCCCUGUAACACUGAGCGCUCAGAAAACAUCCGAAACCUACCGGAUUUUAUGCAAGCGAGCGAUGCAAAUGGGUGCGAUGGAGCGAAAGGAGAAACAGCAAGCCCUGGUGAUUUACACAAUUUUCAACGCAGGAUGAAACAUCAACUAUCAAUUUCGACAGAGACCAGAUAUUUGUCCUGGUGAAGGAGAUUGUUCACGCAUAUCCAUUCUUAGAUUAUCCUGAUGAGCUAGAGGACCUGCUACGGAGGGAAACUGGUUCUAACCCGUGGGGCUCAUGUACCUCGGACGAUUUUCUUUUUGAUCUUGUUGAUCACGUGCCGAUGAUUGUCUACUCAGACGGAUCGGGCAGAACCAGACCGUGCCCCCAUCUAAAUGACGACAUCAAUAACAAUCUGAAUGACACUGGCGUGGAUAGCGCUCGCGGAACAGUUUAUGAGGGAUACAGUCGAAACAAUAACAAUGCAUCGUUUUGUACAAAUGCUCCAAACAUUGAGGAGAGUCUUGUCCUUGUGAGCUGUGCAUCCUCCUUCGAACCUUUCAGCUCCUUUCCCAGUCCUUUGAGAUCGAUUUUCGAUGCCGAACGAUAACGAUAUUUAAGUCUUCUUGAAGUUCUCGAGAUGUUUAUUGAACGAAAUCGACGUAAUGCAGAAAUAUCUGCUACUGCAAGUAAACUCUUCAGCACUAGACCAGAGCAGAUAUUUGUCACACAUGCCAGACUGAGAAAUAUGCUGACCAAGUCAGAAAAUGAAUACAUAGAGAGUUCGAUUGCGAAGAGCGUCACCAGAAUCAGUACAAUAUCUGAUAGCGAUUCGCCGAAGCAGGAGUAAUUAAAGAGUUUUCAGCGACGCGACGAAGCCUCA